This 292-nucleotide ribosomal RNA is filed under the name uncultured bacterium. RNAcentral describes it as "partial 16S ribosomal RNA". It matches the Rfam family "Bacterial small subunit ribosomal RNA", at positions 505 to 796 of the family's 1533-position model. The record is from RNAcentral.
GUGUCAGCCGCCGCGGUAAGACGAACCGUGCAAACGUUGUUCGGAAUCACUGGGCUUAAAGGGCGCGUAGGCGGCUCGCCAAGUCGGGGGUGAAAUACUUCAGCUUAACUGGAGAAGUGCCUUCGAUACUGGCGGGCUUGAGGGAGGUAGGGGUCUGUGGAACUUCUGGUGGAGCGGUGAAAUGCGUUGAUAUCAGAAGGAACGCCGGUGGCGAAAGCGACGGACUGGACCUCUUCUGACGCUGAGGCGCGAAAGCUAGGGGAGCAAACGGGAUUAGAUACCCGGGUAGUCC